Molecule: ribosomal RNA, 434 nt
Filed under: Munida oblongata
Lineage: Eukaryota; Metazoa; Arthropoda; Malacostraca; Decapoda; Munididae
Description: partial 16S ribosomal RNA
Rfam family: Bacterial large subunit ribosomal RNA (bases 310-434)
Source: RNAcentral
UCAUUAGUUUUUUAAUUGAAGGCUUGUAUGAAGGGUUGGACAAAGAAGAAGCUGUCUUUAUUUUUAUCUUUGAAUUUUACUUUUAGGUGAAAAGGCUUAAUUGAAUUUAAGGGACGAUAAGACCCUAUAAAUCUUUAUAUUAAUUUAUGUUUUGAAAAUUAGUAUUGUUAGUAAUUGUUUUAUAAAAAUAAGUAGAUAUUUUGUUGGGGCGACGAGAAUAAAAAAUUAACUGUUCUUAAUUGUAAACAAAGUUAUUUGUUAGAAAUUAAUUGAUCCUUUGUAUAGAUACUAAGUUUAAGUUACUUUAGGGAUAACAGCGUUAUUUUUUUUGAGAGUUCUUAUCGAAAAAAAAGUUUGCGACCUCGAUGUUGAAUUAAAAGUUCUUUGUGGUUGUAGUUGCUACAAGAGGGAGUCUGUUCGACUUUUAAAUUUUU